UAACUCAGUUGGCAGAGCGCAAGACUCUUAACCUUAAGGUCGUGGGUUCGAGCCCCAC
RNAcentral lists this transfer RNA (58 nucleotides) under Zea mays. It matches the Rfam family "tRNA", at positions 8 to 63 of the family's 71-position model. Rfam says of the family: Transfer RNA (tRNA) molecules are approximately 80 nucleotides in length. Their secondary structure includes four short double-helical elements and three loops (D, anti-codon, and T loops). Lineage: Eukaryota; Viridiplantae; Streptophyta; Magnoliopsida; Poales; Poaceae. The record is from Rfam by way of RNAcentral.